This 779-nucleotide ribosomal RNA is filed under the name uncultured bacterium. RNAcentral's name for it is "bacterial SSU rRNA". It matches the Rfam family "Bacterial small subunit ribosomal RNA", at positions 57 to 866 of the family's 1533-position model. The record is from RNAcentral.
GCAAGUCGAGCGCGAAAGCCCCUUCGGGGGUGAGUAGAGCGGCGCAAGGGCGAGGAAUACGUUCCUACGUACCCCGAGGUCAGGGAUAGCCCAGGGAAACCUGGAUUAAUACCUGAUGUGGUCCUUCGGGAUCAAUGGCUUGCUGCCUCGGGAGCGGGGAACGUCCUAUCAGGUUGUUGGUGAGGUAACGGCUCACCAAGCCAAAGACGGGUAGCGGGUGUGAGAGCAUGACCCGCCGCAUCGGGACUGAGACACUGCCCGGACUCCUACGGGAGGCUGCAGUAACGAAUCUUCCGCAAUGCGCGAAAGCGUGACGGAGCAAUGCCGCGUGCAGGAUGAAGCCCCUCGGGGUGUAAACUGCUGUCAGGGUUUAGGAACACAAUGACCAGACCCAAAGGAAGGGCCGGCUAACUUCGUGCCAGCAGCCGCGGUAAUACGAAGGGCCCGAGCGUUACUCGGAAUCAUUGGGCUUAAAGCGUACGUAGGCGGGCGCGCAGGCACCUUGUGAAAUCCCUCGGCUCAACCGAGGAAUUGCUUGGUGAACCGCGUGCCUUGAGACAAGUAGGGGCUGUCGGAACGAUAGGUGGAGCGGUGAAAUGCGUUGAUAUCUAUCGGAACGCCGAAGGAGAAAUCAGGCAGCUGGGCUUGUUCUGACGCUGAGGUACGAAAGCGUGGGGAGCGAACGGGAUUAGAUACCCCGGUAGUCCACGCCGUAAACGAUGUGCACUAGAUCGAGGGGACUCUGACGUCGCUCUCGGUCGAAGCAAAAGUGUUAAGUG